RNAcentral lists this small nuclear RNA (148 nucleotides) under Nannospalax galili (Upper Galilee mountains blind mole rat). RNAcentral describes it as "U1 spliceosomal RNA (ENSNGAG00000004339.1)". It matches the Rfam family "U1 spliceosomal RNA". From Rfam's summary of the family: U1 is a small nuclear RNA (snRNA) component of the spliceosome (involved in pre-mRNA splicing). Its 5' end forms complementary base pairs with the 5' splice junction, thus defining the 5' donor site of an intron. The record is from RNAcentral. Lineage: Eukaryota; Metazoa; Chordata; Mammalia; Rodentia; Spalacidae.
AUAUUUACCUGGCAGGGGAGAUACCAUGGUCAUAAACGUGGUUUUCCCAGAGUGAGACUUACCUAUUGUACUCCGAAUUGUGCUGACCCCUGUGAUUUUCCAAAUGUGCGAAACACAACUACAUAAUUUGUUAUAGUGGAGGACUGUA